ACUUAACAAGGGCAUGUCCAAAACACAGAAAAUGACUACAGUUCUAAGUGGAGACAUUGCCCUAGAACAGCUUGAAAUAGAGGGGUUUUAGUCGCUAGGUCCGAGGACUUCUUCCUCGGGAAUCCGACACUACCCAGUCGUACGGACGGCUGGGUGUCUUUUAAAGAUUUCCCCUCUUCUAC
Non-coding RNA from Agrilus planipennis (emerald ash borer), 182 nucleotides. The record is from Rfam. NCBI's taxonomy places the organism in Eukaryota, Metazoa, Arthropoda, Insecta, Coleoptera, Buprestidae.